Punica granatum (pomegranate) is the source of this 5461-nucleotide non-coding RNA. The record is from RefSeq and is a predicted model, not a curated record. Lineage: Eukaryota; Viridiplantae; Streptophyta; Magnoliopsida; Myrtales; Lythraceae.
CUUCACCAGCAGGAACCGGAAUUAGAGCACACGAAUAAUAUCAUUCGCUUUAUCGGGUACGGUGGCCCUCUGAGCUCAAUUCAGCUUGCAAGACUAUAGCCACUAUUUUUUUUUUUUGCAAUCCUUCGUUCAUUUUGGCUCUGAGCUGUUCCUACUAGCUGAAAGUCUUUUUGAGUUUCUCUUGAGACGCAACUGAACUCGCAGACAGAUCUUGUUGAUGGCUCCGAAGAGGAAGAGAACAUCAGGAACAACCUACCAGGUCUUCCUGAGCUUCAGAGGACCCGACACCCGUCAGGGUUUCACAGAUGUCCUUUACCAUACUCUCGUAGAUGCCGGGAUUCAUGUUUUCAGAGACAAUGAGGAGAUCCGGAAAGGCGAGGAUAUUGGUGAAGAAAUCCUGAGAGCCAUCGAGGAAUCCAGGAUCUUCGUGCCAAUCUUCUCCACCAACUAUGCUUCCAGUAAGUGGUGCCUGAUCGAACUCGCCAAGAUGUUCGAGUCCAAGAAGGCAUCGAUUGGCAAGAAGACCAUUCUGCCCAUUUUCUAUGACGUGGGCGUGCACGAUGUCAAGCUCAAGACGAAGCUGUACGCUGAAGCUCUGAGUACACUCGAACACGAGAAGAAGUGCAGUCACAGAGAAGUGAAGCAAUGGAAGAAGGCGCUUCGAAAAGCUGGAAAAAUCAAGGGAUGGGAACUGAAUGAUAAAGGCUAUGGAGAAUUUGCUAGGUCCUUUGCCAGAGAGGUUUCCAUGAAGUUGAAGGUGAAGCAUAAAUGUGUGACGGACUAUCUAGUCCAAAGGGAUGAUCAAGUGGAAGGUCUCAUGGAGCUUUUAGAUAUUGAAUCAACUGAAGUACGUUUUGUUGGGAUCCAUGGGAUGGGCGGGAUUGGAAAAACUACUCUAGCAAAGCUUGUCUUCAAUAAGCUCUGCGAUCGUUUUGAUAGUUGUAGCUUCCUUGCUGAUGUUCGAGAAUCAGACCGGCAGCAUAAGGGUGUUGGACUUUUGCAGAGAAAACUGCUGGGCGAUCUUGGUCUCGGAUCAGGGGAAAUUAUGGAUGUGGAUGAUGGGAUCAAAAGGAUGAGUGAAAGACUUGCCCAUAAGAAAGUUCUAAUUGUUCUUGAUGAUGUAGAUCACAGGGAUCAAAUCCACGAUCUAGCAGGGGAUGCUAGUUGGUUCGGUUCUGGAAGCAGAAUUCUUAUCACUACCCGGAACCAGCGUGUUCUAGAGAUCAUACCACAGAGAGUUCACAUUUUGAAAGUGGAGGAAAUGAAACCUGAAGAAGCUCUUCGACUUUUCAGCAUGCAUGCCUUUGAAAAGGACUCCCCUCCGAACGAUGACUUCCUCAAACUCACACAGAAGGCUGUUGCAAGAAGCGGCCGACUUCCUUUGGCUUUGGAGGUCAUAGGUUCACUUCUUCGGGACAAACCUCGUAGAGUAUGGGUUGGCACAAUCAAGAGGUUGAAGGGGGUACCUCACCCAGAUGUCCAAGCAAAGCUAAUGAUUAGCUACGAAGCUUUAGAUCAUAGCACAAAAGAGAUAUUUCUCGACAUUGCGUGUUUUUUCAUCGAUCAUGACAAAAGAUAUGCAAGUUACAUGUGGAAAGCUUGCAAGUUCGAUCCAAAGAUGGGACUGAAAGUGCUCGUCCAGAUGUCCAUGGUAAAAAUCAUAAAAGAAUACCAAGUGUGGACCAAAUUAUGGAAUAAAAAUUUAUGGAUGAAAAAAUUAUGGAUGCACGAUCAGCUGCGGGACCUCGGAAGGAAUAUCAUCGCUGCUCAGGGUUUCAAGAACAUUGUAAAGUGCAGCAGAUUAUGGAUGCCCGAGGAUGCUUUAGAAGCACUCCAGCAAGACGAGAACAAACGAAAAAUCGAGAUGCUACGCGUUCGCUCUUAUGAUUACUUAAAAGAUGGGAAAGAACUUUCUAGUCUCCGAAACUUGAGAUAUCUGGAAUGCUCUGGAGCAAACUUUUCAGGAGACCUGAAGCAUCUGCCGAAGCUAAUGUGGCUUUGUUGGCAACGUUGUCCCACGGAAUUCAUGGGAACUGAUUUAUAUUUGAGGAAUCUUGUCAUUCUUGACCUCUCGGAUAGUUUUAUACGCGAAACUUGGGGUGGAUGGAGCCAGAUUGGGACGGGAAACAGCUUGAAAGUUCUUGACCUUAGCAAUUGCCAUUGCUUGAAAAAAACGCCUGAUUUUUCUAAGUAUUCGAGCCUAGAGAGGUUGAUUCUUCGGGGGUGCACGAAGCUGGUUGAAAUACAUCCAUCGAUUGGUAAGUUGAGAGGCCUAAAACAAUUGGAUCUCGCCUAUUGCUUGUCUCUGAAAGGCUUGCCCGAAGAAUUAUGUUGCCCAGAAUUAAUUGAUAUAGACAACGUCAAAUUACCUCAGACAAUUGAACGACCAAUGAAGCUUGAGGUCCUCAAUUUGGGUAAAUGUGAACGGCUGAAGAAGCUUCCAGAUUCACUGGGAUAUCUGAGAUCACUGAUUGAGUUAGAUCUAUUGGAUACAAGAAUUACUAUACUACCUGAUACUAUUGGGAAACUAAAGAAGUUGGCUAGGUUGGAUAUAUCGAGAACGCGAAUUACUGAACUACCUAAUUCUAUUGGGAAACUAAAGAAGCUGAGAGUGAUCAGGAUGACAGGAAUUAUGAUUGAGGAGUUGCCAUCCUCCAUCAGGAAGCUGAAGAGGCUUGAAGUGCUGGAUGCUGAGCAGUGUAAGUCACUCGCAAAGAUUCCAUUAGAAAUCGAGGAGCUCACCUGCUUGAGGGUCUUGAAUUUAAUAGAAACGAAUGUGUGUCAAUUGCCGCCAAAGCUUCCCACCAGUUUGACCGAACUCCAUGUCUCCCCAACUCGACUGCAAAGACUCUUGGAGCUCUCUGGAUAUCAAUCAGAUAUCCAAAGACAACCUUCCAAGUUGAGGGGGAUCGCGAAGCUUCGCAAAAUAGUGGAUUUGACAUUGGUUAUGAACAUCACUUCCAUUUCUAAGAAGUUCAGUUCCCUCUCUCAGCUACAGGAACUUGCUUUGAAGUGCGCACAUUUGGAGUCUUGCCCACCUCUUCCAUCCAGCCUGUCGAAGUUGACUCUUUAUAGACUUCAUGAAAGGACCAAACUGCCACAACUUUCUAAUUUGAAAAGUCUGUCAUGGUUAGAGUUCUGCGAAUGCUCUAUGGAAGGUGAUACUGUUGGAGACCUUGGAAUCGCAGAGUUGGACUCCUUGAGUUACAUCAAUUUCGAGUAUUGCAACUUGAGAAAUCUCGAUUGGUUACGCCUGCCAGAAAGUCUAUGUAAACUGGGAAUAUCUGCUUGUUCCAAUUUCAACACUGUAUCUGUUCUAUCACAUUUAAAGAACUUGAAAGAAUUGGAUGUUUUGUCCGCAUCAGAGCUAGUCGAGAUCCGGGAGCUGGGGGAAUUGGAGUCCUUGCAAAUAUUACGUAUUAUUCGUUGUCAUAACUUGAAGAGAUUAAAGAACCUGUCGAAGUUGAAAAGGCUAAAAACAAUUUUGAUAAGGGAUUGUCGAAAUUUCAUAGGCAUUAAAGACAGCAGCAAAUUGAAAUCCCUGGAAGCUCUUCACAUACAAGAUUGUGAUUGCGAAGAAGUAAACAUCAUCAGGCGAAAUAGGCAAGUAGUCCAGGAAGCGGCGCUUUGAAGAUUUGGAUGGAGGUGAUUGAAUUCAGCAACUCUGAACUCAACUUACUUACGAACAAUUUGGUUUAAUCUCUAUCUUGCGAUAGUUCAAAAGAUGAUGGCAAGUACUCACGAGGACGUCCAUAAGUGGUUAAUCCCGCGAAUGAGAGAAUGCUCGGAGGCGGUGGUGCGGAGGGCGGUACUUGUCUGAUAGCUUGGUCUACUCGCUGUAUCAUUACAAGCUGCUCUACUAACCUCAACUAAUUGGGUUUUGUAUUAGCCAUACACCGAGCUGCGGGACCGGAACUUUUAGAAGCUUGUUAUAGGGUCCUAGAAGCCCGCCCAGGAAUCCGGUGCCCUACAGGUGAAGCUAGGAUCAAUCAUACUUGUAGCACUCAAUAUAUGCUUGCAAUGUGCGGAGGAUUCAAAUUGCCUGCAUCCCACGUUAUACACACGGUUGGCCCGAUCUAUGACACUGACAAAAAUCCCCAAGAAUCCCUUAGAAGUGCCUACAAGAACAGCCUUGCCGUGGCCAAAGAGAACAACAUCCAGUACAUCGCGUUUCCAGCUAUAUCCUGUGGUGUAUAUGGAUAUCCAUAUGAUGAAGCUGCCGCGGUAGCUAUAUCUACUGUAAAGGAGUUUUCAGAUGGCUUGAAAGAGGUGCACUUUGUUCUGUUCUCGGACGAGAUUUAUGAUGCUUGGUCAAGCAAAGCAAAAGAGCUUCUUCAGAAAUAAAAUGGAUAGCUCAUCAUGGACCGAUUGGCCGUGUAUUGAAGAAGAGGAGCUCCUCGUGCUCCGUUUCAAUGAAUGCAGAACUAGUGAAUAAUCACGGAUUCGCCAUUGAUGGAGCUGUGUAAAUUAAAGCUAAAGCAGUUCGAAUCCGUGCAGUGUGUGUUGUGAUAUUGUGGAACAGAAACCUCCUCACCAAUUUCCGAUGGCCCUCCGCAUUCUUCUCAGCUGCCGGACCCUAGCCGCCGCCGUGAAGCCCGAGCUCGGCUUCUCCGUUGGGCUCCGCAGCCUGGUGACCUUCUCGCUCCCCGAUCUUCCCUAUGACUACGGGGCCCUGGAGCCGGCGAUCAGCGGCGAGAUCAUGCAGCUCCACCACCAAAAGCACCACCAGGCGUACAUCACCAACUACAGCAAGGCCCUUGAGCAGCUCUAGCUGGCCAUGUCUAAGGGCGAUGCCCCCUCCGUCGUCAAGCUCCAGAGCGCCAUCAAGUUCAACUGAGGAGGACCCACUAGUGACAAAAGGACCAAGUUUGGUUUCUUUAAUUGGAAUAGAUGUCUGGGAACAUGCGUACUAUCUGCAGUACAAGAAUGUGAGGCCCGACUUUCUGAAAAGCAUAUGGAAGGUCAUCAACUGGAAGUACGCCAGUGAAGUGUUCGAGAAAGAAUGCCCUUGAGACUCGACGCAUUACCCUGAGCUUCUUCCCCAUUGUGAAACAGAGUGUUGUGCUACGGUAGAAGAGCUGUUCCUUGUCCCCGGUGGAGGUGCUUUCUGUGCAAACACUACCCUGUUCUGAUGUAGCGGUUGCUGAAUAAAGUCCAGCAUUUGCACCAAUGUUUUCCCGGCUGACAUAUUGCUUUUGGGUUAGGGUUCAAUAGCUUGUGCCCAUGUGCAUUAAGAUGAUGUUGGGACGUAGCUUAGGCCGACUGAUGAGCUACAAAAUAACUAAUAUGGCCUAUUGGAUGAACGGCAAUGAUGUGUAAAAAACAUAAUCAAGCGAGAGUGCCUAUUCCAGGAUCUCAGCCCCAGCCAAAUAUGCGCGUUGUCCAUUGGCCGACUUGGACCAUCUAUCUGUUGUGUCAUUUAUCGUAACUGCUCAUUAAUCUUCUAGAUUAGCUUUUGACA